This 1441-nucleotide unclassified non-coding RNA is filed under the name Leishmania donovani. Its description in RNAcentral is "gene:LdHU3.33.1470(CDS-product:dnaj_chaperone-lik e_protein)". Lineage: Eukaryota; Euglenozoa; Kinetoplastea; Trypanosomatida; Trypanosomatidae. The record is from RNAcentral.
CGGUCCUCUGUUCCUCUUCAUUCUUUUCGGGUUCGUGUGGCAGCACCAAGCCACAUAAACAUUAAUCGCAGCACGAAUCCUCAUCACCAUGUAUUUGGCUGUCUUCCACGAGUUCGCUCAUCCGGAGGUGCUGGAGAAUGUGAAGGCGGAAGGCAUCUGUGACGUGGACGUGGCUCCGGAGCCGAGCAAGCUGGCCACUUCGGAGGAAGAGCAGCAAGUGUUGCGCUGCAACGCGAAGUUGAUAACGGUGAAGCACAACAUUACCGGUAUCCGUGACGUCUUUGAUGGCAUGACGGAGGCGGAGCUGGCGGAGAUCGAUGGGCAGGUAAACCAGAAGCUGCAGCAACUCGUUGCGCUUGGCUUUCAGGUGGUGGAGCGCCACCCACGGACGUCGGCCGGUUGCCCAAUGCUGGACCGCGUGAUCCUGUCGUACCCGGCUUAACUCAAACGAAAGAAACGAAAGGAGCAGUGAUGAGUGUGUUUGGGGGGGCCCAGACCAUGAUGGCGGGCUUUGGCCGCCUUUGCGGCCUAUGCGCACCCCCCACCCAAAGACUCUUCCGCACUGUGGUAUAGCAAUCUUGAAGACGCACGCGUCUGUGACGGGGGCCGAGGUGAAGAAUGUCGUCGCCUUUCUUUUUCCCUUCUCUUUCGAGGCGUCCGCUCUUUAGUUGCUCGAAACGAACUGUACAGUGCUCAAAGGGGGAAGGCGUUGCGGUGAGACGGCAAUGACGCCAACCGCCGAUGCUGCCGCUUCACACGUAGCAGCGCGCAGCAGCAACCCUUGUCACAGUGAAUAAGAGCAGCAAGCAAGUCGCACUUCGAUUUUGCAUGCGCCGGCGUUUGUGCUGCUGGCUCUUCUCGCGGAAUGGGAGGGCGAGCACUUCGCCUUGUCAAGCUUCGUUAUUAUAUAUAUAUAUAUAUUUGCAUUUCCUCUCGCGUUGUGGCUGGGCGCAUGCGUGUAUGCCAAUGACAGGGCCAUGGAAGGGGUUGAGGAGACGGUGAUACCAUAGGGAUCGGUAGAUAGUUGCGCGGCGAGGCAGGCGGUGGAGCACCAAACUCAAGAAAUCACAGGCAGCACCGCCGGUCUCCUCUUCUGCUCCUCUCGUUGUGAACUGUGCAAUGCAGUUAGCGUCCCUCCCCUCCCCGUGCCACUGCGAUGGACCGCUACUUGACGCGUCGCAUCAAGCGAACCUGGUGUCUUUCACGCGCCUUUUCCGCGCACACCUCUCUCCUGUGCGCCCCGCUCCUGCCUACACAUGCGGCAUGCAUUUUCAUUUGCUGUUCCCCCUGCCUCCUCCUCCUCUUACUUUCUGCAACGUGGCGGGCAAUGCCACACAUCCGCUCGCGCUCCGACACGUCCAACGCCUGCCCACACACACGCUCUCUUUUCCCGCAUUGACUACUCGAAAUCCUGUCGAAUCCUUUUCAUCGGUGUCUCCAG